UACGUAGGGUGCAAGCGUUAUCCGGAAUUAUUGGGCGUAAAGAGCCCGUAGGCGGUUUGUCGCGUCUGCUGUGAAAACUGGAGGCUCAACCUCCAGCCUGCAGUGGGUACGGGCAAACUAGAGUGCGGUAGGGGAGAUUGGAAUUCCUGGUGUAGCGGUGAAAUGCGCAGAUAUCAGGAGGAACACCGGUGGCGAAGGCGGUUCUCUGGGCCGAUACUGACACUGAGGAGCGAAAGCGUGGGGAGCGAACAGG
RNAcentral lists this ribosomal RNA (253 nucleotides) under uncultured bacterium. RNAcentral's name for it is "partial 16S ribosomal RNA". It matches the Rfam family "Bacterial small subunit ribosomal RNA", at positions 524 to 776 of the family's 1533-position model. The record is from RNAcentral.